Molecule: non-coding RNA, 789 nt
Organism: Danio rerio (zebrafish)
Lineage: Eukaryota; Metazoa; Chordata; Actinopteri; Cypriniformes; Danionidae
Source: RefSeq, a predicted model, not a curated record
UCCUCCAUUUGCAUUGAGCAUUUUGACUGCAUCAAGUGCGUCUGACAACUUAAAGAUUUACACGGCAAUCAGCAUGAAAUAAAUUACUCCAGUGCUAAGAUGGGAUUGAAAGGGCAUGCGCUGCAUAAAAACAUAUGCCAGAGUAUUUGGCGGUUCUUUCCACUUACUGUGGCGAUCCCUGGUCUAAUCUGAAGGAAAGUGACCUGUAACUGUGAACUAAUUUUAAGUUAUUUUUGUGAAAUGCUACUUUUCUGGAAUUGCAGAACAACCACCUCAUAUACUGUAAGUGUUAAAAUGUAUUUGUGUUAUAUGGGAUUUUUUUUUUUUUGCAAAAUUAGCAUGUUUCCAUUGGAUGUAUUCUAAAUUUUCUGUUUCAUGUUACACAGUUUAAAGGGUAAUCGAAAAGUAUUUGAUCUCUUGUGAUUUCUCUCUCCUCUGUGCUAUUAUAUAUCCUUAACACACUUCACAUUCCCACAUAUUAAACUAUUUUAUUAAAAAUGUAAUAAACAUGUAUUAAAUGCUUCUAAUGCACACAAUGUCUCAAAAUCCUGUCUGUAAGCAGCUCACUUGUUUUUGAGCACAUAUGCGAAAAGUAAUGACACAUGUGCACAUCUCUUUCACAUACCAACAAAUUAAAUAUUAAACAUACAUUCAUCAGAAGAGCAGGUCUUUCUUGGCAAGAGAGUAAUCAAAAUUGCACCAAGCAGUAGAUGUUAGUCUGCCGAGGUUAUUGACUGCCUCACGAGGUGUGUAGAAAUGAUGAAAUGGUUCAAUGUAUGUAGCAUUUCA